CUCGUAGGCGGUUCGUCGCGUCCGGUGUGAAAGUCCAUCGCUUAACGGUGGAUCCGCGCCGGGUACGGGCGGGCUUGAGUGCGGUAGGGGGAGACUGGAAUUCCCGGUGUAACGGUGGAAUGUGUAGAUAUCGGGAAGAACACCAAUGGCGAAGGCAAGUCUCUGGGCCGUUACUGACGCUGAGGAGCGAAAGCGUGGGGAGCGAACA
This 208-nucleotide ribosomal RNA is filed under the name uncultured bacterium. RNAcentral describes it as "partial 16S ribosomal RNA". It matches the Rfam family "Bacterial small subunit ribosomal RNA", at positions 568 to 774 of the family's 1533-position model. The record is from RNAcentral.